AUAUCCCCCACCCGCAGCCCCACCAACCAAACCCUAACUCCUCCCAUCGCACUCCUCCUUCCUCAUCUCCUCGCCGCCGCCACCUCCUCCGUGUCCCGCCACCUCCUCCUCUUCGUCGAACCACCAGCUCCUCCUUCCUCAACGCGUCCCACAGCGGUGCCCACCGCGUCGCCUGCCGGCCGCCCUCGCGGGUGGCUGCGUCCGCCAGCUCCACCGGCGACCUGCUACCCCAUCGCUGGCCUCUCCCACACCCCUCUCUAACCCUAGAUUCCCAUCACUGGCGGAGGCACCUUCCUUCCCUCAUGCUGCACCUGAAGCUCCCUCCCGCUCCCAGCUUUUCUUCCUGCUCUGCCGCCGCUAGGGUUUCGUCUCCCCGAUCCCCAUUCCCCGAAGGUCGGAUCCAGCAGAAGAAGUGAUGGUGGCCGCGGGAGAUCCUCUCCAAGGUUCGAGCCAAGGCCGCUGAUGGAGCUGCAGCUGCCAGAGGAGCCGACUCGUCGGAUGCGGCCCCCGCCCCCGCCAAGGACCUCAAGAUCUGGGAUGCGCGUCGGAUGUGCUUCCCCAACGCCGACGCCGACGCCGUAAGGUGAGCCCUGUACUGUACAAUUGGCGGGAGGCAUCGUGGACUUGCCGGGGCGAGAGAACGACCCCUACAUCGUCUCUCCCAAUGUUUAAGGGUCGUCCCAACUGUUCAAGGAACUGCAUAUUUGGUGUGGAUAUAGCUACCGCUCGUGCGACAUGUGUUUAGCAUGCUCUCUUGUCUGCUGACCUCUUCCUGGGCUUCUCAACCAGCUUUGAGCAGGUCUACGCACUGGCCCCUCCGGCCAGGUCUACCUCGACAAGUGCUACAUUACCUAUAGCUACUACCCCACGGCGGCAGCCUCGGAGCUGCAGCUCACCCACGAAGGUCUCUCCCUCCUCUCUUGUGCAAGAUGCUCCCAUUGGUUUUGUUUAGACAAGAAGAACGAGAACAAGGAAGUGGCCGUCAAUGACUUCCUGCCUUCAGAAGAUGCCUAUGAGGCCAUCCAACACUCCAUGGAUCAGGGGUGAGGGAAGGCAUGGAGGAGGCGUUCAACAUGUACCGGCAGUCAGUGAUCAGCGUGGCCCUCAUCGAGACGCUAGACAAGAUGAUGGCCAGUGACAUGCACAGCCCCGAGCUCGCCAUGGCCGUCGUCGUGCAGUGCGACAAGGUCGCCCCUUCCCUUCCCUUCCACAUGCUACCACUUCACUGCUUCCUCUCCCAAACUCAUCGAUCAACAACGAGCAUCUAUCUAGAUUGGCCAAGUGUUCGUUGAUCUACAAGCCGGUUUAAGAUCUGGGAUUGGCCGGUCGAAUUCAACACGGAGCUGAGUGUAUGUCGAAACAUUUCAUCCAUCAAGCGCCGCCUCGCCGCCUCCGGCCACCCCGAUGACGCCCUCGCCUUCACCAACCUCCACUACUCCAUGAGGCUGGGUGCGUGCGCAUGGCGGCGGGUCUGCUGUGGUGCGUGCGGUGGUGGCGCGGCUGGGCUCGAGGAGCUGCGAUGCGGCAGGGAGGGAGCUGCUUCCUCUUGUCCUGCUUCGUGUCCCUGAGGUGGUUAGCUGUGCAGGGGGCGGGCGAGGAGGGUGCUGCUGCGGGAAGAAGAGGAGGAAGAAGGCGGCGGCGGAUUUGGACUGCGUACGAGUCAGGCUGCGACGGGGAGCUGCUGCUGUUGGUGCUACUGAACAAAGGAGGAACUACAGCUGCUGCUACCUUGUGCUGUUCCUGGAAGCUUGCCGAGCUACUGCUCCUUGUGUGGCUGCUUCUUGUUUCUACGGCACAGAAAGAAAGAGGUGCAGCGUGCUGAAAAAUGCCUUCGUUCAGCCUGUACGAACAUAUCCAGAAAUGAUGUUUCCUCUCAUUUAUGAAGCUCCAGCCUGAAAGUGAAUGUCGGUGUACUAGGGUAGGGGUCCCCUAGUAUCCCGAACUUGUGCACGGGCGGUUGCAGCACCCCGCGGCAAGGCUUGCCGGGUAACCGCCAAGGUCCUCCAUGGUUCUUGUGGAGCCAUUCAAGAACAAAGUAUUCACGCCAAGGAGACAAGGCACCGGCAAGAGGAGCUUGCCGGGAAGGCCAACCAAGGCAUCUCAAGGAACUUGCCGCGACGCGCCA
Molecule: long non-coding RNA, 2125 nt
Organism: Triticum aestivum (bread wheat)
Lineage: Eukaryota; Viridiplantae; Streptophyta; Magnoliopsida; Poales; Poaceae
Exons: 9
Source: RefSeq, a predicted model, not a curated record